Molecule: unclassified non-coding RNA, 238 nt
Filed under: Hevea brasiliensis (rubber tree)
Lineage: Eukaryota; Viridiplantae; Streptophyta; Magnoliopsida; Malpighiales; Euphorbiaceae
Source: RNAcentral
GAAAAAAAAAAAACUCAUUAUAGGAAGAUUGGGCGCCAAUUGAAGUUUGCGCCAAUCGGCUCACCGACUCUCUGGAAGCAUGACCGUUAUAAUUAGAAUCCUUAUGAUUUCUGUAUUUUAACCCUACUUUUUUCUCUGUUUUCUUUCUCUUUCGCUCAUUUAUCAUCUUUUUUCUUCCCUGCUUUCUUUGGUUUUUGAUUUCAAAUUAUUGUUUGUGUACUUACAUUUACAAUCCUCC